UACAUGUUAGUGUUAAGUGCAUAAAAAGUUUUGAUCUUUUAGGUUUUGGUGAAAGUCCCUUACAUGUAA
This 69-nucleotide transfer RNA is filed under the name Labidochirus splendescens. Its description in RNAcentral is "tRNA-Gln". Lineage: Eukaryota; Metazoa; Arthropoda; Malacostraca; Decapoda; Paguridae. The record is from RNAcentral.